UACGGAAGGGGCAAGCGUUGUUCGGAAUCAUUGGGCGUAAAGGGCGCGUAGGUGGUCUUGUGUGUCUACCGUGAAAUCACGCGGCUUAACCGCGUUCCGUCGGUAGAAACUGCAGGACUAGAGGCUGGGAGGGGCUGGUGGAAUUCCCUGUGUAGCGGUGAAAUGCGUAGAGAUGGGGGAGAACACUCGUGGCGAAGGCGGCCAGCUGGACCAGUUCUGACACUGAGGCGCGAUAGCGUGGGGAGCAAACAGG
This 253-nucleotide ribosomal RNA is filed under the name uncultured bacterium. RNAcentral's name for it is "partial 16S ribosomal RNA". It matches the Rfam family "Bacterial small subunit ribosomal RNA", at positions 524 to 776 of the family's 1533-position model. The record is from RNAcentral.